RNAcentral lists this ribosomal RNA (691 nucleotides) under Asterionellopsis glacialis. RNAcentral describes it as "partial Eukaryotic large subunit ribosomal RNA". It matches the Rfam family "Eukaryotic large subunit ribosomal RNA", at positions 10 to 691 of the family's 3401-position model. Lineage: Eukaryota; Bacillariophyta; Plagiogrammaphyceae; Rhaphoneidales; Asterionellopsidaceae. The record is from RNAcentral.
AUCAGGUAGGAAUACCCGCUGAACUUAAGCAUAUCAAUAAGCGGAGGAGAAGAAAGUAACAACGAUUCCCCUAGUAACGGCGAGUGAAGAGGGAUGAGCUCAAGCCCUAAAUCUGGACUUUGUAAAAGUUCCGAAUUGUAGUCUGAAGGUUUUCACCAAUGGGCGACUCGAGGUCCAAGUCCCUUGGAAAAGGGUGCCAGAGAGGGUGAGAGUCCCGUAUGGCCAUCGAGUCGCUUUCCGGUGGAUUCCGGAGAGUCGGGUUGCUCGGGAUUGCAGCCUGAAUGGGAGGUAAAUUUCUCCUAAAGCUAAAUACUGGCGAGAGACCGAUAGCGAACAAGUACCGUGAGGGAAAGAUGAAAAGAACUUUGGAAAGAGAGUGAAACAGUACGUGAAAUUGUUGAAAGGGAAACGCUUGAAGUCAGUCGCAUUGUCUGGGAAUCAGUCUUGCUUUUGCUUGAUGUACUUUCCAGUUAAUGGGUCAGCAUCAGUUUUGAUCGUUGGAUAAAGGCUGAAGGAAUGUGGCAUCUCCGGAUGUGUUAUAGCCUUCAGUUGCAUACAACGGUUGGGACUGAGGAAUUCAGCACGCCGCAAGGCCGGGUCUCGUACCACGUUCGUGCUUAGGAUGCUGGCAUAAUGGCUUUAAUCGACCCGUCUUGUAACACGGACCAAGGAGUCGUCUUCGUAUGCGAGU